GUCGGAACGAUGAAGCCUUUCGGGGUGGAUUAGUGGCGAACGGGUGAGUAACACGUGGGCAAUCUGCCCUUCACUCUGGGACAAGCCCUGGAAACGGGGUCUAAUACCGGAUAACACUCUGUCCCGCAUGGGACGGGGUUAAAAGCUCCGGCGGUGAAGGAUGAGCCCGCGGCCUAUCAGCUUGUUGGUGGGGUAAUGGCCUACCAAGGCGACGACGGGUAGCCGGCCUGAGAGGGCGACCGGCCACACUGGGACUGAGACACGGCCCAGACUCCUACGGGAGGCAGCAGUGGGGAAUAUUGCACAAUGGGCGAAAGCCUGAUGCAGCGACGCCGCGUGAGGGAUGACGGCCUUCGGGUUGUAAACCUCUUUCAGCAGGGAAGAAGCGAAAGUGACGGUACCUGCAGAAGAAGCGCCGGCUAACUACGUGCCAGCAGCCGCGGUAAUACGUAGGGCGCAAGCGUUGUCCGGAAUUAUUGGGCGUAAAGAGCUCGUAGGCGGCUUGUCACGUCGGAUGUGAAAGCCCGGGGCUUAACCCCGGGUCUGCAUUCGAUACGGGCUAGCUAGAGUGUGGUAGGGGAGAUCGGAAUUCCUGGUGUAGCGGUGAAAUGCGCAGAUAUCAGGAGGAACACCGGUGGCGAAGGCGGAUCUCUGGGCCAUUACUGACGCUGAGGGAGCGAAA
RNAcentral lists this ribosomal RNA (682 nucleotides) under Streptomyces anulatus. RNAcentral's name for it is "bacterial SSU rRNA". It matches the Rfam family "Bacterial small subunit ribosomal RNA", at positions 61 to 758 of the family's 1533-position model. Lineage: Bacteria; Bacillati; Actinomycetota; Actinomycetes; Kitasatosporales; Streptomycetaceae. The record is from RNAcentral.